Molecule: non-coding RNA, 82 nt
Organism: Heterocephalus glaber (naked mole-rat)
Lineage: Eukaryota; Metazoa; Chordata; Mammalia; Rodentia; Bathyergidae
Source: Rfam
AGCUUUGCACAGUGGCAGUAUCAUAGCCAAUGAGAUUUAUGCAAGGCGCAAUAAUUGCUAAUUGAAAACUAAUGAUAAUUGA